GCCCUCGUAGCCCAACUGGCAGCAGGCAAUGCACUCAAACUGCAUACAGUGUGGGUUCGAAUCCCACCGAGGGCACCA
This 78-nucleotide transfer RNA is filed under the name Micromonospora sp. BL4. Its description in RNAcentral is "Micromonospora sp. BL-4 tRNA-Leu". It matches the Rfam family "tRNA". From Rfam's summary of the family: Transfer RNA (tRNA) molecules are approximately 80 nucleotides in length. Their secondary structure includes four short double-helical elements and three loops (D, anti-codon, and T loops). RNAcentral also lists the same sequence under 2 other names. The record is from RNAcentral. Lineage: Bacteria; Bacillati; Actinomycetota; Actinomycetes; Micromonosporales; Micromonosporaceae.